GAUGAACGCUGGCGGCGUGCCUAAUACAUGCGAGUCGAGCGAACAGACGAGGAGCUUGCUCCUCUGACGUUAGCGGCGGACGGGUGAGUAACACGUGGAUAACCUACCUAUAAGACUGGGAUAACUUCGGGAAACCGGAGCUAAUACCGGAUAACAUGUUGAACCGCAUGGUUCAACAGUGAAAGACGGUCUUGCUGUCACUUAUAGAUGGAUCCGCGCCGCAUUAGCUAGUUGGUAAGGUAACGGCUUACCAAGGCAACGAUGCGUAGCCGACCUGAGAGGGUGAUCGGCCACACUGGAACUGAGACACGGUCCAGACUCCUACGGGAAGCAGCAGUAGGGAAUCUUCCGCAAUGGGCGAAAGCCUGACGGAGCAACGCCGCGUGAGUGAAGAAGGUCUUCGGAUCGUAAAACUCUGUUAUUAGGGAAGAACAAAUGUGUAAGUAACUAUGCACGUCUUGACGGUACCUAAUCAGAAAGCCACGGCUAACUACGUG
Molecule: ribosomal RNA, 497 nt
Filed under: uncultured bacterium
Lineage: Bacteria
Description: partial 16S ribosomal RNA
Rfam family: Bacterial small subunit ribosomal RNA
Source: RNAcentral